GGUUGUAAUCGUUUUGUUAUCAACUCUGACAAUAUGGAAAUGAUUAACACAAUGAAGAAUGGAGAACACUCUGCAGGAGCGGCAACAGCAAUUUUUUAUGACUGUUUUUUUAUAGCUUGUGAUUUUCCUCUUACUAGUUUUGAGCAUUGUAAUAGAAAAGCGAACAAGGUAGCGCAUAAGUUGGCUCGACUAGCAAAAUAUUCCGUUACGAGGGAUUGGAUUGAGGAGCCUAUGGGAAAUAUUGUUGGUUGUGGUUUGGAGUCUUUGGAUGUUCUAGCCAAUGGGCUUGGCAUCCUUUUGGUGAUCUUGCAGAUCAGGUUAGCGCUGAUAGGAUCGUCGAAUCCUAGCUAUCCAAGCCUGUUGCGCUUUCAUUUACAACAUUAG
Molecule: ribosomal RNA, 384 nt
Filed under: Triticum aestivum (bread wheat)
Lineage: Eukaryota; Viridiplantae; Streptophyta; Magnoliopsida; Poales; Poaceae
Description: partial small subunit ribosomal RNA
Source: RNAcentral